AUUGAACGCUGGCGGCAGGCCUAACACAUGCAAGUCGAACGAGUGGCGGACGGGUGAGUAAUGUCUGGGACACUGCACGAUGGAGGGGGAUAACUACUGGAAACGGUAUCUAAUACCGCAUACCAUCGGAUGUGCCCAGAUGGGAUUAGCUAGUAGGUGGGGUAAAGGCUCACCUAGGCGAAGAUCCCUAGCUGGUCUGAGAGGAUGACCAGGCAAACUGGAACUGAGACACGGUCCCAGCGCCUACGGUAGGCAGCAGUGGGGAAUAUUGCACAAUGGGUGCAAGCCUGAUGCAGCCAUGCCGCGUGUAUGAAGAAGGCCUUCGGGUUGUAAAGUACUUUCGGCGGGGAGGCGUUACCUGUAGAAGAAGCCCCGGCUAACUCCGUGCCAGCAGCCGCGGUAAUUC
RNAcentral lists this ribosomal RNA (406 nucleotides) under uncultured bacterium. RNAcentral's name for it is "partial 16S ribosomal RNA". It matches the Rfam family "Bacterial small subunit ribosomal RNA", at positions 30 to 526 of the family's 1533-position model. The record is from RNAcentral.